CCCACCAGAUUUUUCUUCUUCAUCAUCCAUGCUUCAUGCCAUUCUUGAAGCUUCCAUGCCAUUUUCUCUUUAUCCACCAUGAAAUCAAGUUUUUUUCACUUUCCUUUCCAUGUUUUCUUUUCCUUUCUUCUCCAAACUUCUUGAGUACUAAAUUUACAGCCUUUAACCCCAAUUUCCAGCACAUCAAAACCCUAGGAGGAGAAGCAAAAAAAGAGAGAAAGGAAGAAAAAAGCUUAGUUUUGGUGAUUUAAGUAAGGAAAGGUAAGGAUUCUUGUUUUUGGCUUGAGUAGUUUUUGAAAAUGAGUUAGUGACUUAGAGAAAUGUCUUGUGGCAGCAAAGAUUGGCUUGAUUGGAGAAAAAUUGGUAACAUGUAAGCCAAUAAACCCAUGGGUACAUGAAGGACUCAAAGUGGAAAAGGAAAACGGUAAGCUUAACACUAUGUUUUAAAGCCUCCAGUUAGUUGAAUAUUGUGAGGAAUUAUGGUUGUUGAAAGGAUCUAUUUGCCUAAGCUAGUUGAAAAUUAUUAAGAUUGUAUGGCAUGUUGUUUGAAAGAAAUGAAAAAGGAAUAUUGUGGAUGGAGGAUUGAGAAACAAAGUAUUGAAAGUUAGAUAGAUAACGAUGUAUGUAAAGUAGGAAAUAAUUGAGUGAAAGUGAGAAUGAUUGUUGCUGCCAUAUAUGUGGAUUAUGUGUGGAAAUAUAAGAUGGAUUUGGGCGAAAAUUAUUUAGAAAAGUUGAAGUAGGCAUGUGGCAUCAUAAAUAAGUUACCGGAAAUAUAAAAUAAGGAAUUACGUAAGCAACAGAUAUAAGUAAUUUCAGUAUAAUGUAUUAAGCUGUGAGUUAAUUGAAGAUGGUUUCAUGAUACGGUGAAAAAUUUAAAUUUAAAUAAGGAUUAAUUGAUUGAAGUGCUACCCAUACACAUAUGUAAUUAAAUAUAUUGAGUUGGUAUUGUUACUAGGAAGUGCAAAGGCAAGGUUAGUGUCACGACCCGGAACUCCCAUCGAGCCCGUGACAACCGCCGCGACGUCUCAAUUUACAUUCAUUACCCGGAAUGUCAACCGAGACCCCGCAAGGCUUUAAUAUCAGCUUCUCAUUUCCCCUGUGGGUAACUGUUUCCAAAUACCACAUUUUAAAAGAUUUUAAACUGUUUCCAACUUAAACAAAUGAAAUAAUAAUUUCCGUCUCACAGGGGUAUUUUUGUCAUUUAUCCCAAAAAUCUCAAAAAUCAUCUAAAAAUAUAGUAUGUAAGUGGAAAACACAUAUUUCUUAAUCAAAAAUAAUUUUGGAUGUCUAAAACAUUCGUUUAAAAUGGAAUUAUGACUGUUAUAAUAAAAUAAAAAUAUUCAAUAAAAUAUUCAAUUUUCACAUAAAACGAUAUUUUAAGAACACUGCAUAAAUAAUUUUUAUAGCGUAAAAGCAAAAUAAAUUCUUACAUACCGUAAUACAGAUAACCAAAGUAUAGAAUUUAAUUUACAGUGACACGUGGGCCCACGAAUGACCAAAAGUAUCAAAAGAAAUGAACCUACAGUCUUUGGAUGUGGCAAGUUCAACUGUAAUCCUCGCCGAUAUCAGUUAUCUACAAUCUAUUCUGAGCCUGAAAUGGGUGGAAAUGAGGGUGGUGAGAUUAUAAAAUCCCAGUGAGUAAACAAACAUCACUCAAAAUAUCUAAAGUCGAGUAAAAGGAGACUAUUAAAACAUUUCAUCAAACUGUAAUUUAUCAUCUUUCAACUUAUUUCAACCAAAUGAAAUCAAUUUAUUUAAAGCAAGUAAUCAGUAUGGCUUAUGAAUUUCUUAAAAAGCUUGGCUCAUGCCAAAAAUUAUUAUCAUACUCAGUUAUUUGGGAUACCUUGGCCGAGGGCUAUCCCAACUGAGUCCGCCAAGGCUAUUAGAAAGUCAUGUUUUUAUUUUGAAAACAUAGCCAUUCCUUGACGUUGGCCGAGUUCCCCUUCACGAGGUGGUUUGGCGUGAAGUGAACUCUAAAAGUUAUACCUCAGGAGUUACCCUACUCGCCUCUCCAACCGAGGUAAAAAUAUAACAGGAUUCCGUGCCCCUCUAAUAGGCUAGUCCACAGAAUCCAGCCCACUGCAGCAGGUCAAACCCACCAUACAAUAAAAUUUUGACAGCAUGACAGGGCUAAUAUAUUACUACCCAGCCUGCAAGGGUAAAAUAAAGCAAUUCAUACAAUUCAUAAAAAACACAGCCCAGCCAGUCAUGCCAAUACAAUAACAUAAGCCAUUAAUUCAAUUUUAAAUUUACAACAUAUCAGUGGUCUCCAAUUACUCUAUUUUCAAAAUCGUUAUUUCGUUUCAAGACAAUUUAUAAAAUAUUUUCAUUUAAACUCAUUUUGUUUACAAAACAUAAAAAUUUACCAUUUGAACUCAUUUUCAUAAAAUUCACCAAAACCGAAUAAAAACAUACUUUAGAUAAUUAAAAUGAUGGUAAGGUUACUCACCGUGUCUAGAGUGAGGAUUUUCGAAAUACUCAGACUAUUGGUCCUCGGGUGCAAUUCCCUUGCCUUUAUCAGAGGACUCACCACCUUGACACAGUACAAAAUCGAGAAAUUCACCACAUUGGUACUAAAUUGAAAUUAAACUAAUUUAGACUACUAAUGCUUGAUAUGGAAUGCAAAAAUGUCUAAAUUUUUGCCUAAAUGCGGUGUUAGCCUAUUUCGGUCUUUUACCCGAUAAAUUGAUAUACGCGUCCGUUUAAACUCCAAAUUAAUUUUUUUCAGUUUCUAUACCUCAAUUGCACCCAAAUUGACUUAAUGUCCCUCAGUGUGGUGCAAAUUAUCAGUCCCGAUAACAAAUUACGAAAAUACCCCUAGUGGGUAAAAAUUUGUAUUUUUGCUCCGAAAAUUUCCAUUAUUUUUCUAGGCUCAUAAUUCAUCAUUAUUCAUCAUAAUUCCUCAAAUAACCAUCAAGAUCAGCAGCCAAUAUUCCCCUAGAAAAUUCAGCAUAAUGGGUUUCAAUGGGAGAAAAUUAUAUUUCUAGCUUAUUUUUGCUAUAUUUCAAUAUAACUUAACUAAAAUCACUUAAUUCAAUUAAAAUCAACCAAAAAUCAAGCUCAAAACUCAUCCAUGGAGGUUUGGCCAGCAUGGGUGUCCAUACCCACUUUCUAAUUUUGCAUGGAAAUGAGAAAAAAAUGCAUGGGUAGUGAAAAUCACAAGGAAAAUCAAUGAAAUUUACCUUUUUAAUGCUUGAUUUCUUGAUUUCUCUUGAUUUUCUCCAAAUUUUUCAGGUAGGAUUUUUUUUUUUUUUUUCCCCUUUUCUCCCCUGGUUUGGACAGCUGAAGAAGAUGAGAAUUCCGGAAUUUUUACCUUUUUAAAGGCUAAAAUAAUAUAAUAUUAUUUUAUUCAUUUUUUUAAUGUUUUAUUAAUUCCUUAAAUUCUAGCCAUCCAUUUGUUUCCAAAUUUUCACCAUACACUUGUCCCACAUAUCCAUAGCUUAGGUAAAAUUCUCAGACUUAUCCAAAGUCUUGGUGGAGUAAUUUUUGAAAUUUACACUUUUACCCCCGUAAAAGUCAAAAAUUACAUUUUUGCCCCAAAAAUUGAAAAAUUGCCCAUAGACAUAUUUUUCAUCCCUUAUACUCAUACCAUUCUCCAAUUUGUCAAAUUUGAUCUAAAUUCUCUCAAAAUCUCAAAUUUUGUCCGCGGGUGGCAAAAUUACGAUUUUGCCCCUACACUCUAGAAAUCACUGGAAUUAAACUUUUUCACUGCCAAACCCUCAAAUUAUACUCCAAUACUCAAAUCAUACUCCAAUAAGUCAAAUGGGGCUAAAAAAAUUCUUUUCUAAAAAUUCCCAUUGUGUCCUUGGGUGGCAAAUGACCAUUUUGCCCCUGGACAGUAAAAAUUCUAGUUUGACUUCAAAUUGAUCCUCGAACUCCAAAUCACCAUAUUAAACCAUUCUGGGACUUUAAUAUUCUUAAUUUCAUUUUAAAUUCUCUAUUUGAUCUAGUUCGAGACUUAAAUUAACUUAAUUGUACCAUUUGGUACAUUGUCGUCUUUUAACGAUUUUUCUUUCAGGGCUUUCCAAGUAUGCAAGCAUAUUGUCAAUCAUAUGAAUGACAUGGAAAGUAUUUUAUAAGGUCGGGCUUGACAACACUACCCCCCUUAAAAUAAAAUUUUGACCUCAAAAUUUCAUGUACUGAACUUAGAGAAAAUGUGGGGGUAUUGUUUUCUCAUCUAAUGCUCGACUUCUUAUGUCCUCCCCUUUAUAGGGAAUUUCGAUUUGUUCACCUCAUUUACCUCCAAUUCAACUCAAGUACUUCGCUUAUGUCUAUUAUUAUCCUUUAAAAUCAGAUCAACAAUAACCUUCACAAUUAUGAUCUCUUAUAUCGAGACACCAAGCAUGCUUCUAUUACUAUCAUUAAGCUUGAACCAUAACUCCAUCUCAAUCAUACCAAUUUCGAUCGCAUUUUAUUCUUAUUUAGGUAUACCAAUCACUAUCUUAUUACUUCAUUCCAUAUCAAACUUCUCGACUUUCAUUCAUUCAUCCUAUCCUCAUACACUAUUGUGUAGUUUACAAUAUCAUUAACACGCCAUACUCAUUCCUGUACAUAUCCUCAGCGUUCGGGAAAAUUAAUGGCUUUAAUUAUUUCUACAUAUUUCAUGUUUACUUUGCAUUUAGGAAAUUUCAAUCUUCUUAAUCCUAUUAAUCCAUCUCAUAUGGCUUAAUCGUACUAUAGAUUAUAUUCCCUUAACUAUUUCUCCAAAAUUCCUUAGGUCACCAUAAAUCGUCUUCUGAUAAGAUUCUUAAUCGUUACAUUAUCUAUACAACUCAUCAAAUAUAUUGAGUUCAAAUCUUGAACCACUAAAACCAUUAUUCAUUUAGUUGGGUACAUCACUACUCCACACAUACAUAUACAUAUACAUUCAAAUGUCUAUAUUCCUCAUUAUGUAUACGAGUCUCUGUUUUCAAAUGCCUUCAGACUAAUUUCUCUUAAUUCAUUCCCAUCCACAAUCAAGAUUCAAUAGAAUAAUCUUCAUAAUUCAUACAAAUUCUCAUCAUGCCUGUGCAUAGUUCCUCAUCAUUUAUAUACUUAUAUUCUCUUCUUAUCAUUUCCAAUUAUAUGCUUAAGUUUCCUUGUACUGUAUAUCAUUGCAUCACAAUGUCAUCUCCAUUGAAUUAUAAUCUAUUAUGCGUGUAUGUUUUAUAAUCCCAUUGGUAUCUCAAAAAUUUAUCUUGACUUGAUCAUUGCAUCUUAUGCAAUACUACAAUUCCUAAAAGUCAUCCUUAUUCCUCGAUUAUCCUUCAUGUCUCCUAUAUAUUGUAUCCUUAUUGCAUUUCGAUAUUGAUUUGUCACUUAAAACUCAGAUUCAUUUGAAUCAUGUAUGCCUCACGCAUUUUCGAAUUCCAAUUCCCAUAAUAUAUUAAGAAAGUUUCAUUAUCUGACUUCAUUAUCAAGGUUAACUUCUAUCAUCCUUUAUUCCACUCUUUCAUAUGAAUAUAACAUCAUUCUUCCUUAACUAAUUUACAAAUUGUACUUGAAAUUACAAGACUUGAAACUAAAUUCUCCUCAAGUACUUUUUAAUGUUAAUACUUAUACCACUCUCAGCUUAUAGCUUCCUUUUUAUAACUACAUAACUUAGUGCUUGCUUUCACAAGAUCCAUGGCAGAACUUCUCUUGAGUAUUUCCUUAGGGAUAUUUAUUUUAAAUUUAUGUCUCACAACAUAUGAUCAUUUAACCCGUAACUUAGCCAUUUGGCUCCUUAGCAAGUUUCAAAGUCACGCAUCUUAUGCUCAUCAUGUAUAACUUAUAAUUCUUUCUCAAGGGCGUUUAAACAUUCUUGAAACACUUAAUCACUUAUUUACUCUUUUAUACACCAAGUAUAUCAUUUCCAUAAAGGCAUGCCCAACUACUCAUGCUUCAAUUUAUCUCCAUGGGUUUCUAGCAUGUCACCUAGUUUACUUGUGUUGUUACUAAUCCUUUCCUUUCAACAAGGUCAAGACAAGAUCAGUAUAUUCUCAUAACAAUAUUCUAUAUAAACUCAUUUGCUAUAUCAUUAUUGAAAUCUUUAUUUACAUUUUCCUCACUUGCUAUUGACAUCUCUUAUCAGUAUCUCAUACAUUCAUCUAACCUUUCGCUCGCUUCCUCUUUAGUCUUUAACAAGACUUAAUCUCUUGUCUUCUUUAUUUCUUAAGAUUUGACUUCAGUCAUCAUAUUAUUCAUCUUAACACUCCACAUGUUAAUUUAUUUUUAUGUAGCCAUCUCAAAAAUUCUCUAACUUUUCUUUCUCUUACAUGCCAAUAUAUAUAAGGCAAUAAUAAAAAAAAAAAAAAAAAACUUUGCAAUUUCACUCAUCAUCUUUAUCUUAAUACCUCCCAAUGCACUUAAGACUCCAAACAACAAAGCUUAGCAUGAAAACCAAUGACCAUUCUUCAACUCGUGUGUUUCAUCUUCAUGCCACUCUCAAUUUGCUCUGCUUUCUAGCCAUUAGGGGUUCUUAACGUGACAGCGUUUGAUAGUCAGUACUGUGGCGUUGCAACGGUUUGAAUUCACUUUAUCUUAGCAACUCUUCCACCUUUAAAGCUACUACCUCAAUUAUUCACAAUCGUGUGGCUUCCCUUCGAGUCUAUACCACAAUUAGCAAGACUAACUUUCUAUCACAAGUGUGAAAUCAAAACAUUGAUUUAACGUUUUUUUUUUUUUUUGCCACUAGCAUUCAUAUAUCUUUACCAUAACAUUUAAUACGAGUUUGCUUAAGCAAAGAUCUCCAAAUUUAUUCAUAGCUACAUGUAUCUCAAAUUGCUCAUCACUUAUCAUCAGUCAAUAAAUCCCACUCGAAAAUACCCUUUCCAUAUUGUAUAGUGAUUUCACCAUAUAGCAUCACUGCACGAUGUUCCUCCAUUCUACUAUCAUGGAUACUCCAUAGAAAUUAAUUAAAAGAUUUACGUACCCUAACUAAUGCUAAUUCCAUUUAAUCAUAUCUUAAAUACUUCAAACUUGUAAAUUACAACUCCAAAUGUAUGUCCAUAUAUUGAUAAUCUUUAUAUAUUUCAUGAUCAUGAAAACUACAACUUACAAACUAGCUUUCUAUCAUACGUACUUUAUUAGAGCACUAAUUUCAACUUAUUUAAUCUACCCUUGGUGGUAUGUCAAAAUCAUCCCUGUCUCGGUUGCAAUCCAGAGGAAUCUCUCCUCUGUAUAUCCGUAUGAGCUGGUGGAGAUGGAGCAGCUACCGUAGCCCGUCCUAACUGUGGACAAUCUCUCCUAAUGUGACCCAGUUGAUCACAAUGAAAACAUCGUGCAGGCCCUCUGCACGGCCCAACAUGAUAAUUCCCACAAUUUCUGCAUCUACGUGAACUUCCUGAAACAGAGGAGUUUUUGCCCCUGUUUGGUGGCUGACUAGAAGAUACACUUAGACUUCUCCUUUUUGCUAACUCAGCUCGCAGACUCUUAUUUUCAUUCGCAAGCUUCUCGGCUCUUAAAGCCAUUCGCACCACCUCUUUAGCCACGGUUGCGUCCGACUCACCCAUAAAAGAAACACAACUAUGUUGCCUAGCCUCUUUAAGCUUCUUAGAAUCAGAAACAUCCAGCACUGGUGGUGGGACAGGAGGUGGGGAUGGUGGUACUGAAGGAGCAGCCAGAGGAACUGUAGGAAGAACUUGACCAGCCUGAGCCUGGCCAGCAAUAGCAGUAAAGAAGGCUGCUAAUGCUUGAACUGCCUCAAGAGGCAUAGCAAGAAUACUAGUAAGUGGCAGAGGAGGUGGAGGAUGUGGAGGAGUCUCGAUUUGUUCAGCAGCAGGUGCUGCCCGAAUGGUGGAUGCAGUCGAUUCCUCCUCUAUUGCACCUAACUGACGACGUUGAAAACAACCUCUUCCCCUCCCAGCUGAUCUAGUGAAAGGUGGUUGUUUGCGUCGAGGAGACAUAAUAAUCUAUAAGAGGGAACAAAGUGAGUUUAGGCAACCUCAGGCUCUAUAUGCUUAUGCAUGUAUUUUAUUCAACCUAACCUAACUUAACUCGGGGCCACACUGACACUGUAAAUUUUUAAAACAGCUUUAAAAUAACUUUAAACCCAAAACUCUAAUCUUUCAAACCAACAGCUCUGAUACCAACUUAAUUGUCACGACCCGGAACUCCCAUCGAGCCCGUGACAACCGCCGCGACGUCUCAAUUUACAUUCAUUACCCGGAAUGUCAACCGAGACCCCGCAAGGCUUUAAUAUCAGCUUCUCAUUUCCCCUGUGGGUAACUGUUUCCAAAUACCACAUUUUAAAAGAUUUUAAACUGUUUCCAACUUAAACAAAUGAAAUAAUAAUUUCCGUCUCACAGGGGUAUUUUUGUCAUUUAUCCCAAAAAUCUCAAAAAUCAUCUAAAAAUAUAGUAUGUAAGUGGAAAACACAUAUUUCUUAAUCAAAAAUAAUUUUGGAUGUCUAAAACAUUCGUUUAAAAUGGAAUUAUGACUGUUAUAAUAAAAUAAAAAUAUUCAAUAAAAUAUUCAAUUUUCACAUAAAACGAUAUUUUAAGAACACUGCAUAAAUAAUUUUUAUAGCGUAAAAGCAAAAUAAAUUCUUACAUACCGUAAUACAGAUAACCAAAGUAUAGAAUUUAAUUUACAGUGACACGUGGGCCCACGAAUGACCAAAAGUAUCAAAAGAAAUGAACCUACAGUCUUUGGAUGUGGCAAGUUCAACUGUAAUCCUCGCCGAUAUCAGUUAUCUACAAUCUAUUCUGAGCCUGAAAUGGGUGGAAAUGAGGGUGGUGAGAUUAUAAAAUCCCAGUGAGUAAACAAACAUCACUCAAAAUAUCUAAAGUCGAGUAAAAGGAGACUAUUAAAACAUUUCAUCAAACUGUAAUUUAUCAUCUUUCAACUUAUUUCAACCAAAUGAAAUCAAUUUAUUUAAAGCAAGUAAUCAGUAUGGCUUAUGAAUUUCUUAAAAAGCUUGGCUCAUGCCAAAAAUUAUUAUCAUACUCAGUUAUUUGGGAUACCUUGGCCGAGGGCUAUCCCAACUGAGUCCGCCAAGGCUAUUAGAAAGUCAUGUUUUUAUUUUGAAAACAUAGCCAUUCCUUGACGUUGGCCGAGUUCCCCUUCACGAGGUGGUUUGGCGUGAAGUGAACUCUAAAAGUUAUACCUCAGGAGUUACCCUACUCGCCUCUCCAACCGAGGUAAAAAUAUAACAGGAUUUCGUGCCCCUCUAAUAGGCUAGUCCACAGAAUCCAGCCCACUGCAGCAGGUCAAACCCACCAUACAAUAAAAUUUUGACAGCAUGACAGGGCUAAUAUAUUACUACCCAGCCUGCAAGGGUAAAAUAAAGCAAUUCAUACAAUUCAUAAAAAACACAGCCCAGCCAGUCAUGCCAAUACAAUAACAUAAGCCAUUAAUUCAAUUUUAAAUUUACAACAUAUCAGUGGUCUCCAAUUACUCUAUUUUCAAAAUCGUUAUUUCGUUUCAAGACAAUUUAUAAAAUAUUUUCAUUUAAACUCAUUUUGUUUACAAAACAUAAAAAUUUACCAUUUGAACUCAUUUUCAUAAAAUUCACCAAAACCGAAUAAAAACAUACUUUAGAUAAUUAAAAUGAUGGUAAGGUUACUCACCGUGUCUAGAGUGAGGAUUUUCGAAAUACUCAGACUAUUGGUCCUCGGGUGCAAUUCCCUUGCCUUUAUCAGAGGACUCACCACCUUGACACAGUACAAAAUCGAGAAAUUCACCACAUUGGUACUAAAUUGAAAUUAAACUAAUUUAGACUACUAAUGCUUGAUAUGGAAUGCAAAAAUGUCUAAAUUUUUGCCUAAAUGCGGUGUUAGCCUAUUUCGGUCUUUUACCCGAUAAAUUGAUAUACGCGUCCGUUUAAACUCCAAAUUAAUUUUUUUCAGUUUCUAUACCUCAAUUGCACCCAAAUUGACUUAAUGUCCCUCAGUGUGGUGCAAAUUAUCAGUCCCGAUAACAAAUUACGAAAAUACCCCUAGUGGGUAAAAAUUUGUAUUUUUGCUCCGAAAAUUUCCAUUAUUUUUCUAGGCUCAUAAUUCAUCAUUAUUCAUCAUAAUUCCUCAAAUAACCAUCAAGAUCAGCAGCCAAUAUUCCCCUAGAAAAUUCAGCAUAAUGGGUUUCAAUGGGAGAAAAUUAUAUUUCUAGCUUAUUUUUGCUAUAUUUCAAUAUAACUUAACUAAAAUCACUUAAUUCAAUUAAAAUCAACCAAAAAUCAAGCUCAAAACUCAUCCAUGGAGGUUUGGCCAGCAUGGGUGUCCAUACCCACUUUCUAAUUUUGCAUGGAAAUGAGAAAAAAAUGCAUGGGUAGUGAAAAUCACAAGGAAAAUCAAUGAAAUUUACCUUUUUAAUGCUUGAUUUCUUGAUUUCUCUUGAUUUUCCCCAAAUUUUUCAGGUAGGAUUCUUGUUUUUUUUUUUCCCCUUUUCUCCCCUGGUUUGGACAGCUGAAGAAGAUGAGAAUUCCGGAAUUUUUACCUUUUUAAAGGCUAAAAUAAUAUAAUAUUAUUUUAUUCAUUUUUUUAAUGUUUUAUUAAUUCCUUAAAUUCUAGCCAUCCAUUUGUUUCCAAAUUUUCACCAUACACUUGUCCCACAUAUCCAUAGCUUAGGUAAAAUUCUCAGACUUAUCCAAAGUCUUGGUGGAGUAAUUUUUGAAAUUUACACUUUUACCCCCGUAAAAGUCAAAAAUUACAUUUUUGCCCCAAAAAUUGAAAAAUUGCCCAUAGACAUAUUUUUCAUCCCUUAUACUCAUACCAUUCUCCAAUUUGUCAAAUUUGAUCUAAAUUCUCUCAAAAUCUCAAAUUUUGUCCGCGAGUGGCAAAAUUACGAUUUUGCCCCUACACUCUAGAAAUCACUGGAAUUAAACUUUUUCACUGCCAAACCCUCAAAUUAUACUCCAAUACUCAAAUCAUACUCCAAUAAGUCAAAUGGGGCUAAAAAAAUUCUUUUCUAAAAAUUCCCAUUGUGUCCUUGGGUGGCAAAUGACCAUUUUGCCCCUGGACAGUAAAAAUUCUAGUUUGACUUCAAAUUGAUCCUCGAACUCCAAAUCACCAUAUUAAACCAUUCUGGGACUUUAAUAUUCUUAAUUUCAUUUUAAAUUCUCUAUUUGAUCUAGUUCGAGACUUAAAUUAACUUAAUUGUACCAUUUGGUACAUUGUCGUCUUUUAACGAUUUUUCUUUCAGGGCUUUCCAAGUAUGCAAGCAUAUUGUCAAUCAUAUGAAUGACAUGGAAAGUAUUUUAUAAGAUCGGGCUUGACAGUUAGAGUACUGUGGUGGCGUGUCAGAGUAAAUAACGAGCGACUGGCCAAUGAAAAUAGUUAGAGACACCCCUGAACAAAUAGCGACUUAAUAUCUCGUUGUUACAAGGUGAGUGAACUUGCAUUUCAAAAUUUCUUUGGGAAAUAUAAUUGUAUUUGGAUGAAACAUUUGAGUGAUUUUAUCCAACUUUUCUUUAAAAAUGUGUGCCGGGGAACAAGCCCUUGAAAAAAUAUUUUGAUGUUGUGAAAAUGUGAAAUGUGAGAAAGGAUGAAUCCAUGUGCUCCUAUAUUAUGUUGGUAUGUAUAUAUAUGAAUAUAUGUUGUACAUUAAUGAAUAAUGUUAUGUGAUGAUGAUGACCCGACUAUGUGCAAGUAGGGAGUGUUCAUAAGCCGAUGAUGACCCGACUAUGUACAAGCAAGGAGUGCACAUAAGCCGAUGAUGACCCAACUAUGUGCGAGUAGAGAGUGCACAUGAGCUGAUGAUGAUGAUAAGGCUAUAUGCGAGAAGUGAGUGCACAUGACGAUGAAUGAAGUAGGAGUGGUAGACGUGUUUAUAUAUGUUUAUAUAGGUAGAUGUGAUAGAAAGUUUAUGAUUAUAAUAUGUGAUUGAAAUGAAUAAUGAGAAAAAUUUUGUUUACACUGCCUUGCUUGGUUAAUUGCUAGAAAUUUCCUUUCUUUCCAAUUUCAUGCUGAAUACGGUUCCUUCAUCAUUAAAUGAUUUUACAACCAAGGGUUUAAUGGAGGGAUUUUAAUGAGAACUUGAACUAAAUGGCAUUAUUUUCAAAUAAGUGCAUCAUGUUUCCUAAACCAUUCCUUGUCAUUGUUUGUUCCCUUCCUAUGCUUACUCACUCAGUUUGUACUCACGUUUUCAAAAUUCAUGUUUUAGGUUUCUUGAGUCAAAGGUGGUUGGGUCCUAGGACAAGGUGUUCCUCCUUAUCCAUUGCUCGAUAGGUUUACCAUGACAUUAAAUGUUAGCAACCGUGUCCAGAGUCACUCCGCUGAUGGUUAAGUUCUAAUUAAGUGUAUAUGAAUACUUGUUGUGAAAUGAUGAGGUUCAUUUGUCAAACUAUAUAUGUGUAUAAUGGUUGAUGAUGCCAUUUUGAAUGCAUAGUUGAGGUUUAUGAAUUGUUUUCAAAGAAAUUAUAUUUGAACGCUACAGAUUUUGAAUUUUAAAAGAGUAUGGAUUAAUGUAUAAGAUUUUAUAAAUAGGCUUGCUUGGGCUUAGUGGGUUGAGCCCAUUGGGCCCUUGCAUCGGUCAUGGCACGAAAAUUAGGCUAUGAUACUGUAGCUCUCAAAACACACCAUUUUGGUGCUUUAAUGGCCACAUAAGAGUCUUCAAAACGACGUCGUUUUGAAAACUCUAACCCUAAGUAUUUAAGGUUUUUUUCUCCCUUCUUUUCUUAUUUUUUUUCUCUCUUUUUCUCUCUCUACCUGUGGCCCUCUCUGUGCAUUCAUUUUCUCUCAAUAGCCUCUCUGUCGAUCUAUUUCUUUUGAUCGAAGACCAGAACCGGUGUCUCACCCAAAUCGGAUUCUCCCUUUUUUCCAUUAAUACUCAAGCCGAC
RNAcentral lists this long non-coding RNA (12736 nucleotides) under Theobroma cacao (cacao). Its description in RNAcentral is "long non-coding RNA (TCAC_LNC006317)". Lineage: Eukaryota; Viridiplantae; Streptophyta; Magnoliopsida; Malvales; Malvaceae. The record is from RNAcentral.